Molecule: long non-coding RNA, 746 nt
Organism: Numida meleagris (helmeted guineafowl)
Lineage: Eukaryota; Metazoa; Chordata; Aves; Galliformes; Numididae
Exons: 2
Source: RefSeq, a predicted model, not a curated record
AAAGAUCCAGAGUUUCCAUUUUGGGUGUGCUACUGGGGCUCGAUUUGCAAAGGAUCCAGCUACAACUCAAGAGCUAGAAAAGCUCCCUAGCAUACACAUGCACCGAACCCAAUGUCACAGGAGGGCUCCUCACUGAAAUGUGGAUCUGUGAAUGUUCCAAGCUUCAAAAUUGUGUGACAAAAAUUGGAAAGUCAAUACUAUACAAGCAAGAAUAGAUGACCAAGAAACUACAUAGAGCACUGGAAAACUCCAAGGAUCAUUGUUAAGUUCAGGCAGGAAAAUAAGCACGGAAGAAGCCUUAGGAGGCAGAAGAAGUAAUGAAUUCGCAAGUUCCAGAGACACUCAAAUCUCUGUUCUGUAAGCAAAUCCAUGUUGGUACAUUCUUCUUCAGUAUGGAGUCUUCUGAAAUCACUGAAUUUUCAGGCAAGCUCAGAAGUCAACCAAACGAAAUGCGAAGGCUCUGAGCAGUAAGGUCUCUCUGGACUUUUCUAAUGAGUCACAAAAAUCAUGAGUAAUGCUGAGUCAUGAAGCCUGCAGCAGGAUGGGUCAGUUCAACUCGUGUGUAUAAUUUCAGGAGAGAUUUUGUGAGAGGGAAGCUCCUAUCUAAUGUGUCUGUCUUCUCAAAUAAGUAUUUUCACCACAUCUCUCCUCCCUCACAGUUUAUUGUGGCUACAUAUAAACUACUUAACAUGUACAACAUAAGCACAUUCAGUAUGUGUUUAGGUGUGUGUUAUCACAAAUGCAGA